AAAAAAAAAGGGCCCCCGCGACACGCGUAAUCGUAGGGUGCAGCGUUAUCGGGAAUUAUUGGGCGUAAAGGGCUCGUAGGCGGUUCGUCGCGUCCGGUGUGAAAGUCCAUCGCUUAACGGUGGAUCCGCGCCGGGUACGGGCGGGCUUGAGUGCGGUAGGGGAGACUGGAAUUCCCGGUGUAACGGUGGAAUGUGUAGAUAUCGGGAAGAACACCAAUGGCGAAGGCAGGUCUCUGGGCCGUUACUGACGCUGAGGAGCGAAAGCGUGGGGAGCGAACAGGAUUAGAUACCCUGGUAGUCCACGCCGUAAACGGUGGAUGCUGGAUGUGGGGCCCGUUCCACGGGUUCCGUGUCGGAGCUAACGCGUUAAGCAUCCCGCCUGGGGAGUACGGCCGCAAGGCUAAAACUCAAAGAAAUUGACGGGGGCCCGCACAAGCGGCGGAGCAUGCGGAUUAAUUCGAUGCAACGCGAAGAACCUUACCUGGGCUUGACAUGUUCCCGACGGUCGUAGAGAUACGGCUUCCCUUCGGGGCGGGUUCACAGGUGGUGCAUGGUCGUCGUCAGCUCGUGUCGUGAGAUGUUGGGUUAAGUCCCGCAACGAGCGCAACCCUCGCCCCGUGUUGCCAGCGGAUUAUGCCGGGAACUCACGGGGGACCGCCGGGGUUAACUCGGAGGAAGGUGGGGAUGACGUCAGAUCAUCAUGCCCCUUACGUCCAGGGCUUCACGCAUGCUACAAUGGCCGGUACAACGGGAUGCGACGCGGCGACGCGGAGCGGAUCCCUGAAAACCGGUCUCAGUUCGGAUCGCAGUCUGCAACUCGACUGCGUGAAGGCGGAGUCGCUAGUAAUCGCGAAUCAGCAACGUCGCGGGAAUGCGUCCCGACCUGA
RNAcentral lists this ribosomal RNA (887 nucleotides) under Bifidobacterium longum. Its description in RNAcentral is "bacterial SSU rRNA". It matches the Rfam family "Bacterial small subunit ribosomal RNA", at positions 481 to 1383 of the family's 1533-position model. Lineage: Bacteria; Bacillati; Actinomycetota; Actinomycetes; Bifidobacteriales; Bifidobacteriaceae. The record is from RNAcentral.